This 1525-nucleotide long non-coding RNA is filed under the name Zea mays. RNAcentral describes it as "long non-coding RNA (ZMAY_LNC002422)". The record is from RNAcentral. Lineage: Eukaryota; Viridiplantae; Streptophyta; Magnoliopsida; Poales; Poaceae.
ACCAAAACCAACCUGAGAUGAAUAGAGGUAGAGAGAAGAAGAGAACUCUUCAUUUGAUUGUUCCUUUAAGAUAUAUAUCAAACUUAGGAACAAUAACACAAGUGAAUAUGUGAGAACUCUAUGGAAGAAAACAAUCACAAUAAAGAAAUACACAAGUUACACAAUGAUUUUAUCCCGUGGUUCGGCCAAUGCCUACUCCACGUUGUGGUGACCUCGUUCUGAGGGGCACCACACCGUCCGGUGGGUGGUACCAGAAAACCAGAUUGUCCGGUGCUCCAAGUGAUCGUUGGUCCCAGGCCGACGUGUCUACUAGUCAUUGGUCGGCUGGCACAUUGGAUUGUCCCGCGCUCCGUGCGGACUUUCUGAUGAUUUAUAGCCUACGCUUGCUGAUUUUUCUCCAGAGCAGCCAUUUGGUCGGACCGUGCAUCGAACUGUCCGAUGCACACCGGACUGUCCGGUGGGUGGCAUCGGACCGUCCGGUGCUACACAUAGUAGUCCAACUUUCUCUUUUCUAUUUAGAAUCUUUUUUGCUCCUUUUGGCUUGACUUCGUAAAGUCCCUAGCACUUAGAAAAAUAUGAUUAGUACCCAAAAUAAUUGACUAAGUGUCCGGAGCUUACCCUUUUCACUUGGUACCAUAUAGAUUUGUAUUAUGCCCUAUUUCAAGCUCAAUUUGCUUUUAUGUACCUAUGAUCAUUGCUCAUGUAAGAUGAUGUCAGUAUAAAUAUAAUGUGUUGAGCAUUUAAUCACCAAAACGAAGUAGAAAUGGCCCAAUAAUAUAUUUCCCUUUCGUUGGCGGUGUAGGUUUUUGGAAAGUAUAGGGUCAGUUUACAAAAACCAGGGACCCGUAUUAACUGAUCCGUACGGAACCUAGACGACGGGUUGAAUAAAUAAAAUCAUAGGGGCUCUUAUGCAAAAUGCCAUGGCUGAUCUAAUGUGUGCACAACCAGAGCCCAAGGAUCUGAGAUCUACGGUUUGGGAUCAAACUACGAAGGGGUAUGCUCCCGUUCUAAUCGUGGUCGACUAGAACCCGAUCGACGGCGAGUCUCAUUGACGGCACACACAUCUUCUCCCCCAACCCACCAGGAUUCACGGUGGCGCGCGCGUGCUCCCGAUGGUGUCUCGCCGGCGUUCAACCAUCUCAUGUCUCAGAGCACUAAUCCACACGCAAACCGGUGGUACCUGAAGUGGACGCAUAGGCAAAAAGGCUUGGUGGGGUGCUUACCGUCGAUUAUGCCAUAGAGGUGCUUGCUCUCGUCGUGGCGCGGGUCCACGGAGGGUGGUUGGCACCGGAGAAAAAUUCCGAGCCCGCCGAACAGUAAGUGCGCCCAUAGCUUCAUGCGUACAUCUUCCAUGGGAUCUGGGUUACUCCCUGGACCAAGUAUGAAGGCCGCUUUAGCGACGCAUCCAUGUAUCAUUGCCAACGGCGAUCUCUCUCCUCCCUCUCGGCUUUCUACACCCGGUCGAAGGUGACGACGCACGAUAGCCAGAUGGGUGCGGCAACUGGUUCUUAUACCCGGGGGAGGU